GGGAAUACUGCGAGUUUCCACCGCUCAUAACGGUCUGGUUGCAGGUUCGAGUCCUGCCGGGCCCACCA
RNAcentral lists this transfer RNA (68 nucleotides) under Bradyrhizobium septentrionale. RNAcentral describes it as "tRNA-Met". RNAcentral also lists the same sequence under 3 other names. The record is from RNAcentral. Lineage: Bacteria; Pseudomonadati; Pseudomonadota; Alphaproteobacteria; Hyphomicrobiales; Nitrobacteraceae.